AGCAACAUAGCACAACGGAAGCGCGCCGGGCUCAUAACCCGGAGGUCGAAGGAUCAAAACCUUCUGUUGCUA
RNAcentral lists this transfer RNA (72 nucleotides) under Opeltia flavorubescens. RNAcentral's name for it is "tRNA-iMet (CAT) (tRNA-iMet-CAT-2-1)". It matches the Rfam family "tRNA". From Rfam's summary of the family: Transfer RNA (tRNA) molecules are approximately 80 nucleotides in length. The record is from RNAcentral. Lineage: Eukaryota; Fungi; Ascomycota; Lecanoromycetes; Teloschistales; Teloschistaceae.